This 301-nucleotide ribosomal RNA is filed under the name uncultured bacterium. Its description in RNAcentral is "partial 16S ribosomal RNA". It matches the Rfam family "Bacterial small subunit ribosomal RNA", at positions 509 to 807 of the family's 1533-position model. The record is from RNAcentral.
CAGCCGCCGCGGUAAUACGGAGGAUCCAAGCGUUAUCCGGAUUUAUUGGGUUUAAAGGGUGCGUAGGUGGCCUGUUAAGUCAGGGGUGAAAGACGGUAGCUUAACUAUCGCAGUGCCUUUGAUACUGACGGGCUUGAAUACACUAGAGGUAGGCGGAAUGUGACAAGUAGCGGUGAAAUGCAUAGAUAUGUCACAGAACACCAAUUGCGAAGGCAGCUUACUAUGGUUUUAUUGACACUGAGGCACGAAAGCGUGGGGAUCAAACAGGAUUAGAUACCCCUGUAGUCCCUGUCUCUUAUAC